Molecule: long non-coding RNA, 566 nt
Organism: Ictalurus punctatus (channel catfish)
Lineage: Eukaryota; Metazoa; Chordata; Actinopteri; Siluriformes; Ictaluridae
Source: Ensembl
UCUAUAACUAGCUUGUGGUAUCUCUCUCUCUCUCUCUCUCUCUCUCUCUCUCUCUCUCUCUCUCUCUCUCUCUCUCUCUCUCUCUCUCGCUUUCCUAAGAGUGUAGGGAAGCUGUGAAAGGAAAGGGCUUUCAGAUGAAUGCUCAAGGACACUAAGAACUUAAGGCAGACAAGCGUCUGCAGAGGAAACACAAGACGGCGACAAGACAUCAAUCCAGAAUCAACAGGAGAAGAUUUCGAAAGGAAGUUUUGUCAAGACCCUGCUAGUCUCCGAAACCGAUUUGGAAAUGAUUACAACAGAGAGGAUGCAAAAGCGACUCAGGCUGGAAUUGGAACUUGGCGGUUAAGUAUCCUGGAGUGCUGAUCCAGGCACAAUCGAAUCCCAAAGUUGGUGAAGGAGCCAAAAGACUAAGUGUGUUGAUGAAAGGACAGAGUGAACCACAGCCUGGGGGUUGUUGGUAAGUGUAUGGUUUUGCUCUGGCUACGUGAUUUAGGGAGGUAACAUUUCCAAACCUAUAGACCUGUUCACAGGCCAAAUGAGUUCCAUGAAACUAUGAGGGGGGUAGG